This 253-nucleotide ribosomal RNA is filed under the name uncultured Eubacteriales bacterium. RNAcentral describes it as "uncultured Clostridiales bacterium partial 16S ribosomal RNA". It matches the Rfam family "Bacterial small subunit ribosomal RNA", at positions 524 to 776 of the family's 1533-position model. The record is from RNAcentral. Lineage: Bacteria; Bacillati; Bacillota; Clostridia; Eubacteriales.
UACGUAGGGGGCAAGCGUUAUCCGGAUUUACUGGGUGUAAAGGGAGCGUAGACGGCAGCGCAAGUCUGGAGUGAAAUCCCAUGGCUUAACCAUGGAACUGCUUUGGAAACUGUGCAGCUGGAGUGCAGAAGAGGGAAGUGGAAUUCCAUGUGUAGCGGUGAAAUGCGUAGAGAUAUGGAGGAACACCAGUGGCGAAGGCGGCUUCCUGGUCUGCAACUGACACUGAGGCGCGAAAGCGUGGGGAGCAAACAGG